This is a long non-coding RNA of Paramisgurnus dabryanus, 734 nucleotides long. RefSeq lists it as uncharacterized. The record is from RefSeq and is a predicted model, not a curated record. NCBI's taxonomy places the organism in Eukaryota, Metazoa, Chordata, Actinopteri, Cypriniformes, Cobitidae.
UUUUGGUAAAGUAAUGCAAAAGUAUUGUUCUGCAUUUACUCACAGGUUUCCAGAAGAAGAUGCAGAAGAAGGGGAAAAAAAGAACAAUGAAAUCCUCCUUGCAUGGACCAGGUCUGUCAUAAAUCAUAUGUGGUUUUCCUGUGCAACCAGUAAGGGGGACGUCGAGGUAAGACGAUUUUUCUAGACUUAUUGAUAAUAAUCAUAUUUUCAUGCAGGUACUGAAAUGCCAGUGGAAAUCCAUUCUACACCAUGUGUGUAAUGAGCAUGAGCGGACAGAUGAUGACGGAGGACAGUAUCAGUGUGACCAUGCUCCUCUAACAGCACAGGAGCAAAAGAUGCGCAUGUGGAAGGAUUCUGUGGCAUUUCAAGACCUGUCAUCGCUGGUCCUUGACAAAAGGCUUCUGAGAGACAUGGAAAAGAUGGCCCUGUUCAAACAUACUGGGCCGCUGGAAGUCUUUCACAGCGCACUUUUGAAAUACCUCACCAAUGUAAUGUUCCUGCACUACAAUGGUACCCCACUGCCCAUAGCUGUACAUAUCUUAUCUAUAUGGUUCUUGCUGAAUAUGAAUAUUUAUUGUGUUUUUCUUAUAAUAUAUUCUGUUUAUACACUGCAUAAAUCAAUAUUAUUUAUACUACUAUUAGGUUACUGCUACUACAUCGCACAUAUCUGUACAUGUUGUUCAUACAUGCUUCAUAUUACAUAUCCAUAUUUAUUCUGCUCUUACAAGGUAACA